UAAUGAAUAGGACGUGUGGUUCUAUUUUGUUGGUUUCUAGGACCGCCGUAAUGAUUAAUAGGGACAGUCGGGGGCAUCAGUAUUCAAUUGUCAGAGGUGAAAUCCUUGGAUUUAUUGAAGACUAACUACUGCGAAAGCAUUUGCCAAGGAUGUUUUCAUUAAUCAGGAACGAAAGUUAGGGGAUCGAAGACGAUCAGAUACCGUCGUAGUCUUAACCAUAAACUAUGCCGACUAGGGAUCGGACGAUGUUAUUUUUUGACGCGUUCGGCACCUUACGAGAAAUCAAAGUGCUUGGGCUCCAGGGGGAGUAUGGUCGCAAGGUUGAAACUUAAAGAAAUUGACGGAAGGGCACCACCAGGGGUGGAGCCUGCGGCUUAAUUUGACUCAACACGGGGAAACUCACCAGGUCCAGACACAAUGAGGAUUGACAGAUUGAGAGCUCUUUCUUGAUUUUGUGGGUGGUGGUGCAUGGCCGUUCUUAGUUGGUGGAGUGAUUUGUCUGCUUAAUUGCGAUAACGAACGAGACCUUAACCUGCUAAAUAGCCCGUAUUGCUUUGGCAGUACGCUGGCUUCUUAGAGGGACUAUCGGCUCAAGCCGAUGG
This 602-nucleotide ribosomal RNA is filed under the name uncultured fungus. RNAcentral describes it as "SSU rRNA". It matches the Rfam family "Eukaryotic small subunit ribosomal RNA", at positions 815 to 1440 of the family's 1831-position model. Lineage: Eukaryota; Fungi. The record is from RNAcentral.